Non-coding RNA from Anopheles farauti, 81 nucleotides. NCBI's taxonomy places the organism in Eukaryota, Metazoa, Arthropoda, Insecta, Diptera, Culicidae. The record is from Rfam.
UCUAGCUCUGAUUGUCCAAACGCAAUUCUUGUCGGUAUACUUUAGCUACUCAAGAGUUGUGACUGGACAUCCGUGGCUCGA